RNAcentral lists this unclassified non-coding RNA (339 nucleotides) under soil metagenome. RNAcentral describes it as "partial contains 5.8S ribosomal RNA, internal transcribed spacer 2, and large subunit ribosomal RNA". The stretch from base 1 to 120 matches the Rfam family "5.8S ribosomal RNA", at positions 35 to 154 of the family's 154-position model. The record is from RNAcentral.
GAUGAAGAACGUAGCGAAAUGCGAUAAGUAGUGUGAAUUGCAGAAUUCAGUGAAUCAUCGAAUCUUUGAACGCACAUUGCGCCCCUCGGUAUUCCGUGGGGCAUGCCUGUUCGAGCGUCAUUUAACCCCUCAAGCCUAGCUUGGUAUUGGGUGCUUGUCCCCCCUCUCGCGCGGCGACUCACCUCAAAGUCAUUGGCAGCCCGCAUCUCGCCGGCCGUGAGCGCAGCACAGACGCGCUCUUGGCAACGACGGAUCGGCUCUCCAAAAGCUUAUUUCAACCACUGACCUCGGAUCAGGUAGGGAUACCCGCUGAACUUAAGCAUAUCAAUAAGCGGAGGA